This 402-nucleotide ribosomal RNA is filed under the name Schmidingerella taraikaensis. Its description in RNAcentral is "partial Bacterial large subunit ribosomal RNA". It matches the Rfam family "Bacterial large subunit ribosomal RNA", at positions 1 to 466 of the family's 2925-position model. The record is from RNAcentral. Lineage: Eukaryota; Ciliophora; Spirotrichea; Tintinnida; Rhabdonellidae.
GAAAAGAGCAUUUGGUGGAUGCCUUGGCAUAAAGAGGCGAUGAAAGACGUGGCACUCUGCGAUAAGCUACGGGGAGGUGAGAGCAACCUUUGAUCCGUAGAUUUCUGAAUGGGGAAACCCGGCGCUUUAGCGUCAUCGUUAACUGAAUACAUAGGUUAACGAAGCAAACCCGGCGAAGUGAAACAUCUCAGUAGCCGGAGGAAAGGACAUCAACCGAGACUCCGUUAGUAGUGGCGAGCGAACGCGGACCAGGCCAGUGGCCAUCGGAUAAGAACCGGAACUGUCUGGAAAGGCAGGCCAUAGUGGGUGAUAGCCCCGUAUCCGAAACCUGAGUCUGGUGAAAUCGAGUAGGACGGGACACGUGAUAUCCUGUCUGAACAUGGGGGGACCAUCCUCCAAGGC